AUGGCGUGUAAGCUGAAUCAAAGAGGAAACAUACGAAAAAAACGCUUAUGUAGAAAAGCUCAGAGCCAACAACGCGAUUCUUCACAAAUUCGGCAUCGCGUUUUCAAAAUCAUCGCGUUUCACCACAGCUCCUCGUCGCGUUCGGAAUCAACACAAUCGUGUUUUCGGAUUUCAUCAUCUUCACGGAGCAUCGCUUUUCAGAAAUAGUAUCGUGUUCAUGGAUAGCGUCGUGCUUCAUAGUCUUCGUUCGCAUUUUGGAUUGCAUUUGUUCGCGUUUCAGAAAUUCUUCGCUCAUGAUUCGCGUUCGUUCUUAGCACUUGAUUCACGUUCGUUCUCCGCACUUGAUUCAUAGGUUCAUGGCAUCGGGGAUUCAACAACACUAAACGCGGAUUAAAGCAAACUCACUAGUUUCGACGCGACGGCAAAAACAAAAUUGAUUUGGGAAUGCUUGAAGCUUGGAAUGGUUUUGGCUUGGAGUGGCUUGAAGCAUGGAGUUUGGAAAUGGUUUGGAUUUGAAGGUUUUGUGAAUUUUAAAUUGGAAAAUAUAUAAUGGUUGUAAUUGAAAAAAAUGUGAAUGGGAUUUGCAAAUUAAUGUUGAAAGUAUGGUUUUAUGUAAUUUUAAUUUGAGAUUUGGAAUGGCCAAUGUAUGUUGAAAUUUAAAUGUAAAAAUGUAAAAUUGAAAUUGAAUUGUAAUUUGAAUUGAAUUGAAAUGAAA
Molecule: long non-coding RNA, 715 nt
Organism: Lathyrus oleraceus (garden pea)
Lineage: Eukaryota; Viridiplantae; Streptophyta; Magnoliopsida; Fabales; Fabaceae
Exons: 2
Source: RefSeq, a predicted model, not a curated record